Molecule: transfer RNA, 87 nt
Filed under: Bacteroidota bacterium
Lineage: Bacteria; Pseudomonadati; Bacteroidota
Description: Bacteroidetes bacterium (sediment metagenome) tRNA-Ser
Rfam family: tRNA
About the family: Transfer RNA (tRNA) molecules are approximately 80 nucleotides in length.
Source: RNAcentral
GGAGAGAUGCCGGAGUGGUUUAACGGGCGUGAUUGGAAAUCACGUAUAGUCAAAUGGCUAUCCAGGGUUCGAAUCCCUGUCUCUCCG